GACGUAGGGGGCCAGCGUUGCUCGGAAUUACUGGGGGUAAAGGGUUCGUAGGCGGUGUGGCAAGUCGGGAGUGAAAUCUCUGGGCUCAACCCAGAGUCUGCUUCCGAAACUGCCGUGCUUGAGUGUGGGAGAGGCGCGUGGAAUUGCAGGUGUAGCGGUGAAAUGCGUAGAUAUUGGGAGGAACACCAGUGGCGAAGGCGGCUCACUGGACCGGAACUGACGCUGAGGCGCGAAAGCGUGGGGAGCAAACGGG
Molecule: ribosomal RNA, 253 nt
Filed under: uncultured bacterium
Lineage: Bacteria
Description: partial 16S ribosomal RNA
Rfam family: Bacterial small subunit ribosomal RNA
Source: RNAcentral